This 1018-nucleotide ribosomal RNA is filed under the name uncultured Ascomycota. Its description in RNAcentral is "eukaryotic LSU rRNA". It matches the Rfam family "Eukaryotic large subunit ribosomal RNA", at positions 1 to 1036 of the family's 3401-position model. Lineage: Eukaryota; Fungi; Ascomycota. The record is from RNAcentral.
CUCUUGACCUCGGAUCAGGUAGGGAUACCCGCUGAACUUAAGCAUAUCAAUAAGCGGAGGAAAAGAAACCAACAGGGAUUGCCCUAGUAACGGCGAGUGAAGCGGCAACAGCUCAAAUUUGAAAUCUGGCUCUUUCAGAGUCCGAGUUGUAAUUUGCAGAGGGCGCUUUGGCUUUGGCAGCGGUCCAAGUUCCUUGGAACAGGACGUCACAGAGGGUGAGAAUCCCGUACGUGGUCGCUAGCUAUUGCCGUGUAAAGCCCCUUCGACGAGUCGAGUUGUUUGGGAAUGCAGCUCUAAAUGGGAGGUAAAUUUCUUCUAAAGCUAAAUAUUGGCCAGAGACCGAUAGCGCACAAGUAGAGUGAUCGAAAGAUGAAAAGCACUUUGGAAAGAGAGUCAAACAGCACGUGAAAUUGUUGAAAGGGAAGCGCUUGCAGCCAGACUUGCUUGCAGUUGCUCAUCCGGGCUUUUGCCCGGUGCACUCUUCUGUAGGCAGGCCAGCAUCAGUUUGGGCGGUGGGAUAAAGGUCUCUGUCACGUACCUCUCUUCGGGGAGGCCUUAUAGGGGAGACGACAUACCACCAGCCUAGACUGAGGUCCGCGCAUCUGCUAGGAUGCUGGCGUAAUGGCUGUAAGCGGCCCGUCUUGAAACACGGACCAAGGAGUCUAACAUCUAUGCGAGUGUUUGGGUGUCAAGCCCGAGCGCGUAAUGAAAGUGAACGGAGGUGGGAACCCGCAAGGGUGCACCAUCGACCGAUCCUGAAGUUUACGGAAGGAUUUGAGUAAGAGCAUGGCUGUUGGGACCCGAAAGAUGGUGAACUAUGCUUGAAUAGGGUGAAGCCAGAGGAAACUCUGGUGGAGGCUCGCAGCGGUUCUGACGUGCAAAUCGAUCGUCAAAUUUGGGCAUAGGGGCGAAAGACUAAUCGAACUAUCUAGUAGCUGGUUCCUGCCGAAGUUUCCCUCAGGAUAGCAGUAACGUAUUCAGUUUUAUGAGGUAAAGCGAAUGAUAAAGGCAUGGGGGU